Molecule: transfer RNA, 72 nt
Filed under: Gemmatimonadales bacterium
Lineage: Bacteria; Pseudomonadati; Gemmatimonadota; Gemmatimonadia; Gemmatimonadales
Description: tRNA-Gly
Rfam family: tRNA
About the family: Transfer RNA (tRNA) molecules are approximately 80 nucleotides in length. Their secondary structure includes four short double-helical elements and three loops (D, anti-codon, and T loops). Further hydrogen bonds mediate the characteristic L-shaped molecular structure. tRNAs have two regions of fundamental functional importance: the anti-codon, which is responsible for specific mRNA codon recognition, and the 3' end, to which the tRNAs corresponding amino acid is attached (by aminoacyl-tRNA synthetases). tRNAs cope with the degeneracy of the genetic code in two manners: having more than one tRNA (with a specific anti-codon) for a particular amino acid; and 'wobble' base-pairing, i.e. permitting non-standard base-pairing at the 3rd anti-codon position.
Source: RNAcentral
GCGGCAGUAGCUCAGUAGUAGAGCAGCGGGCUUCCAUCCCGCGUGUCGAGGGUGCAACUCCCUUCUGCCGCU